GUGGGGAAUAUUGCACAAUGGGCGAAAGCCUGAUGCAGCAACGCCGCGUGAGGGACGACGGCCUUCGGGUUGUAAACCUCUUUUAGUAGGGAAGAAGCGAAAGUGACGGUACCUACAGAAAAAGCACCGGCUAACUACGUGCCAGCAGCCGCGGUAAUACGUAGGGUGCAAGCGUUAUCCGGAAUUAUUGGGCGUAAAGAGCUCGUAGGCGGUCUGUCGCGUCUGCUGUGAAAACUGGAGGCUCAACCUCCAGCCUGCAGUGGGUACGGGCAGACUAGAGUGCGGUAGGGGAGAGUGGAAUUCCUGGUGUAGCGGUGGAAUGCGCAGAUAUCAGGAGGAACACCGAUGGCGAAGGCAGAUCUCUGGGCCGUAACUGACGCUGAGGAGCGAAAGUGUGGGGAGCAAACAGGAUUAGAUACCCUGGUAGUCC
RNAcentral lists this ribosomal RNA (430 nucleotides) under uncultured bacterium. RNAcentral describes it as "partial 16S ribosomal RNA". It matches the Rfam family "Bacterial small subunit ribosomal RNA", at positions 354 to 796 of the family's 1533-position model. The record is from RNAcentral.